CUCUCGGUCGUCUAGUUGGUUUAUGACGUCAGACUGUAAUUGUAAUUGGAAUUGGAAUCUGGAUGUCGCGCGUUCGACUCGCGCCUGAGAGA
Non-coding RNA from Ciborinia camelliae, 92 nucleotides. The record is from the annotation of a GenBank genome assembly. NCBI's taxonomy places the organism in Eukaryota, Fungi, Ascomycota, Leotiomycetes, Helotiales, Sclerotiniaceae.